RNAcentral lists this non-coding RNA (148 nucleotides) under Nomascus leucogenys (northern white-cheeked gibbon). The record is from Rfam by way of RNAcentral. Lineage: Eukaryota; Metazoa; Chordata; Mammalia; Primates; Hylobatidae.
GCUGGGCAUGGUGGCGCAUGCCUGUGAUCCCAGUUACGUGGGAGGCUGAAGUGGGAGGAUCUCUUGAGCCUGGGAGGUCGAGGCUGGAGUGAGCCGUGAUGGCACCACUACACUCCAGCCUGGGCGAUAGAGUGAGACCCUGUCUCUC